GUGGGGCUCUGCAGCCUUACCAGCCCUGCAUGCGCUCCUGCCCCCAGCCAGCUCCCUCCUCGCUGACCUCAGUCUUCCCUCCCCCCGCCCCAUCCUAGCAGAAAGAAGCUGAAGGAGUUCCUGCCAACUUCCAUGCACCUGAGGCUGUGCUCCACCGCCGUAAAACCAGAGGACACCUCGUCAUCGUCAUCGAAGCAACCAGUUGCCAGCCUGAGUUCAUCUGUACACAGCGUGAAGCUCACAGAACAGAACUCUACCAUCAGCAUCCUAGGCGAGAGCUCCUCGGGGCUGCAGGAACUGGAUGCCAACCUGAGUUCAUCCACAGUGGGAGUGAAGUGGAAGGAGUUCCUGUCGCCACCGUCCAGGUGCUCAAGUGAGACCUCCCUCAGGACCAUCGGCUCAGAGAGCUCCCUGCAGCUCCAGGAUGCAAAUGAUCAACAAGAAAUAAGGCAGCAUAUGGAAGGAGACAUGGCUGAAAACCAAGGCUCAGCUUCAGGAGCCCAGGGACCUGCGCUGACUGAGAGCCCCUUCCAGGGCUCCUUCUCCGCCAGUAUGCUGCCUGUGGAGUCAGUCCCUGAAAACUACUCUCUCCUGUCCUCUCUGCAUGGCCACAGAAAGGACACGUGGUCCCAGAGGCACUGGGACACCCUCCCCGGCAGCCAGAAGCCCUGGAGCUUGGAGUCCACGGUCAUCAACGUCUCCGGGAAGCCGAACAACCAGCCGGCCAUCCAGGAGGUGCCCCGUGCGUGGGCGACGGUGCCGUACAUCCAGAUGCCCAAGGGCCUGCCCGUCAUCGAGGAAGAAGAGUGUGGGAUGAUGGUGACCCCCGUCGUCAGCGUGGAGGAGGGCUGUGGCCCCGAGGAGGCCACUGGGUCCGACGACUCCCGCAGGGUCACCGUGAUCGUAACGCCUGAGGACCCGGAGCUCAAGGACCGGGCUCCUCAGCCUCUAUAGAGCAAGCACAUCUCCGAGGGCCCCAGGACGCCCCCUCCCUCCAGAGCUGCUCACACAGCCUGGCCUCAUUUCCAACUCUAGGAGGAGACCUGGGCCCUGCCGUCCACCGUCAGACCCUGCCGUCCACCGUCAGACCCCGCCGUCCACCGUCAGACCCCGCCGUCCACCUUCAGACCCCGCCGUCCACCUUCAGACCCCGCCGUCCACCGUCAGACCCCGCCGUCCACCGUCAGACCCCGCCGUCCACCUUCAGACCCUGCUGUCACCAUCAGACCCCACACCCUCCAUGAGAGUCAGGAGGGAAGAGGGAGCAUAAGCCCCUCUGCUUCUGGCUACGUGGGAAGAGUUUUAUGACCUCUGCAUUUCACUCACUCUAGAAGCCAUAUGUUAAAGACUUUCAUAUUUUUCUAAACACGUCUAAGUGUUAUUCCAGAAAGAAAGACGAUUCAAGAUGGAGUGGGUGCCAUGUUUUUACUUUGUUGACUAUUAACGUUUUUAACUGUAGGAAUUUAAGUAGCUUUUAAGAAAAUUUAGAAUUCCUUAGUAAGUUUUAUAGGAAAAAAUAAAAAUUAAUUUU
RNAcentral lists this long non-coding RNA (1531 nucleotides) under Balaenoptera musculus (blue whale). RNAcentral describes it as "lncRNA (ENSBMSG00010012694.1)". Lineage: Eukaryota; Metazoa; Chordata; Mammalia; Artiodactyla; Balaenopteridae. The record is from RNAcentral.